AGUCAUUCAAACCUGACUCCAUUAGGUGCUGCUCAUUGCCUUGGAGGCUGCUGCUCCUGUGUGUCAGAUCCACAGAGAUAUCCGAGUUCAGAAAUGAGUGGAAAAAUACCCAUGGUGGGCAGGAAGAGAAAUCCCCUUGCUAUAUUCCCAUUGUGAGCAGUGCCACCCUGUGGGAUAGAAGCACACCCAGUGCAAAGCACAUCCCUUGUUAUGAAAGAACUUCAGUACCCUGCUCCAGAUUCAUUAAUCACAUGAAGAAUUUCUCUGAAUCUCCUAAAUUUCGUAGUCUACACUUUCUGAAUUUUCCAGGAAGUCACCAUGGACAGGCCACACAGAAAUUACAGGGAGCUAUGGUUCUUCACCUUGAAGAAAAUGCUCUCCAUUCCCUUUGUGCCUGUAAACUCCUCCUGAUCCUCUCAAACUCAUCUCACAUGUGGCUUCCUCUGGAAGCACAGCCUUACCCCCCUCCUUUUCUGCAUUUCUGUAGUACUUAGGUCAUGUUUUCAGCACAGUGUCCACUAUGUUGUACUAUGUCACCACUCCUAGAAGCCCUUUCCUGCACUU
This 564-nucleotide long non-coding RNA is filed under the name Homo sapiens (human). Its description in RNAcentral is "non-protein coding lnc-NT5DC3-5:6". The record is from RNAcentral. Lineage: Eukaryota; Metazoa; Chordata; Mammalia; Primates; Hominidae.